UCUAAUAUGGCAGACAAGUGCAAUGGAUUUAAGCUCCAUAUAUAAAGGCUUAUACCUUUUGUUAGAA
Molecule: transfer RNA, 67 nt
Filed under: Nemurella pictetii
Lineage: Eukaryota; Metazoa; Arthropoda; Insecta; Plecoptera; Nemouridae
Description: tRNA-Leu
Source: RNAcentral